This 21-nucleotide non-coding RNA is filed under the name Arabidopsis thaliana (thale cress). The record is from RNAcentral. Lineage: Eukaryota; Viridiplantae; Streptophyta; Magnoliopsida; Brassicales; Brassicaceae.
UCGAGUGCUUUCAGGAGGUCG